RNAcentral lists this non-coding RNA (201 nucleotides) under Acidobacteriota bacterium. Its description in RNAcentral is "Acidobacteria bacterium 6S RNA". It matches the Rfam family "6S / SsrS RNA". Rfam says of the family: E. coli 6S RNA was the first non coding RNA to be sequenced, but its function was unknown until recently. It consists of 184 nucleotides that fold into an extended hairpin structure with a large single-stranded internal bulge. The 6S RNA specifically associates with RNA polymerase holoenzyme containing the sigma70 specificity factor. Lineage: Bacteria; Pseudomonadati; Acidobacteriota. The record is from RNAcentral.
GAGUCCCUGCAGGGUGCGUGAUGAGUCAAUCUAACGCUUGAACCGUAUUUCUUACUUGGGUGCUCGCGUCUCCAACGCCGCGUGCACGCCUUCGUCCCGCUCCGCGGGAUAUAGAAGGUAGCCAAAACGGCACGAGUAGAGCGCCCCCCUGUUUUUUACGGGUUCAAGUAAGAAUUCUCACACGGCUCAGGCGGGGUUCUC